Long non-coding RNA from Hypanus sabinus (Atlantic stingray), 2586 nucleotides. RefSeq lists it as uncharacterized. NCBI's taxonomy places the organism in Eukaryota, Metazoa, Chordata, Chondrichthyes, Myliobatiformes, Dasyatidae. The transcript has 2 exons. The record is from RefSeq and is a predicted model, not a curated record.
CUUGCAGUACUUAGAGUUAAGUCACCUUGUGUUAUAGAUCUCAAACUAUAUUGCCCAACCUCUUCAAACCUUGUUUAGCAUGCCAAGUGUUAAAGCAUUCUUGGAAUGCUGGAUUGCUUUGCUGAAAUGAAGCCCUGCUUUGUUCUGCUACUGACUGGGCCAAUGAAAAUAUGUGGGUUGCCAGGAAUCUUUGAUAGCACACAAUCAAUGUUAGACAAUUCCCGAAUUGUACAUCUGCUCCACCUAGUUUUAGGAAAUUUAGUCUUUUAAUUCUCUGUUGCUUCAGCAAAGUAUGUUUUGUUGCAGGAAUUGAACUGCUGCUCAACAAUGCUGUUUGAAUCAUGAACUGGACUCCAGUGACUGGUUCUUUCACUUUUUUAAAAAAGUAGUUUCAUGUCUCCUGAGUUUCAAGGAGCAGUUUUUAAAGUUUUGAUUUUAGGCCUAGGUUUUGACUGGCAGGGAAGAAAAACGAUGCCACAAGUCAUUAUCACAAAAGAUAUUGCAAAUGCUGGAAGUCAGAAGUAACACACACAAAAUGCUGAAGGAACUCAGCAGAUCAGGCAGCAUCUUUGGAGAGGAAUAAACAGUCGACAUUUUGGGCCAAGACUCUUCAUCGGGACUGGAAAAGAAAGGGAAAAGUGCAGAAUGACAAGGCCACAUUGAACCUCCUGGUUAUUCCUGCUGGCUGGCACGACAUAUUGCAUGAGGAGAAAGCAGCGGCUACUCAAGUAGGUUGACAGUAUGUGCUGCUGUAAACAUCCUUGACUGGAAGCUUUACUGGAGGAAACUGAGCUUUCAGUCAGAUGUUUAUGGCUGCAAGCUGCCAUGCACUCCAAAAGGAAACUGAACUCCUCUCCCAUGGAUGUGCCUGGAGAUAAUGCACGUUCAAAGUGGUUACAUGAAAACUGAUAAGAUGAUGUAAUGAAAUGGAAUAUGAGUUUCUUUGCAGCAACAACUCUGUUUAAUAUUGAUGCAGUGUCCAAGACACUUGACAGCUCUAAUCUGAAACAAGGUUUGAUAUUAAGCUGAUUUAGAUUUGGUGGCCAGGCGAGCAUCUUGGAGGAGAAAGAGACACAGAUUUCUACAGAUGUAUGGUGGUGCUGUAUAGUUGCAACAUCUGCUGGUAUGGAGACUCCAAUGAAUAGUAUUGAAAGGAGCCUCUUCUCAUUACUACAAUUGGGGCAGAUCUACAGGAGCCUAAAGUCAUACACUUAACAUUCUAGGAAAAGCUUCUUCCCCCGCUGUCAGAUUUCUGAAUUGUCCAUGAACAAGACUGCAUUAUUCCUCUCAUGCACUUUUUAAUUUUUGUAACUUACAGUAAUUUUUAUGUCUUGCUGUGUACUGCUGCUGCAAAACAAGAAGUUUCACAACAUGUCAUGGAUUAUGAACCUGAUUCUGAUUAUGGAGCUGGGGUCAAGGCAGCUGAAAGCAUCUCCGCCCAUUUGUGGAAUGCUAAACACUAGGAAUGCCAGGAUUUUAGUAGCGUUGGUAGAGGGAAAACCAUGAAAGAUUAAAAAGCUGGAUAUGAAAUAAAAUAUGUAGUCAUCUGCAUAAGUAUCUAGCUUCAGAAAGUGAAAUUAAGAUGUUUGAAUUUUUAUUUGGGUGAUUUGCUAAAACAUUUUUUAAUAUCUGAAUUGAAUUCUUUGUAACUGAAUAACAUCAUUUUAGCUAAUGACUUUAAGGCCUUUUAGAAAACUGUAAAAAUCUUGUUACCCCAAUUAGCAAAUUUCAAAUCACUUGGUAAGAAUGUUCAAUAAUCUGAUUGAGAUGCUGAAAACCUGAAUUAAAGUCAGUCAAUUCUAGAAUUUAUGCCUCCUUUUUAAAAAAUUACCUCCAUGAUAAGGGAAAUAUAUUCUUCUUAUUUACUUACUUGAUUCAUCUCUUAACAAUUUCAUGCACCCCAUUCAAGUUUCCUUUCAAUUUCUUCUGUUCAAAAGAAAAUAAUCUCAACCUAUUGAAUAUUGUCCUGUGUUUAGGCUAGCAUUAAAUUGGGGAUUUAAUGUAAGUUGUCCCGUAUUUAGGUGUAAAGGGGGUUUCUUUUUUUUUCUUUGUUACAGUGUAUGUAAUCAAAAUGGCUUCUUUGUUUUGUUAAAAGUAGGAAUGCUUCUUUGUUUCGAGAGAGUGCUGGAAGCUUGUUUGGGUUAAAAUUUACUGAUAAUGAGAAUUGUAUUCCUUUGUAAACCAAUUGGGAUUAAUGUUGUUCUUUCUUCUGAGUCUGUAAGCUAUUGUUGGCGGGCUUUUGGGCAGAUCGGCGCGAGGGGGUGAGAGAGAGAGGACGCUAUGCUGUAAACUGGGUGAGGAAUGGACCCCAAGCAGAGGUCCGAGGCCAGGAGGUACUCCGAGGAGAGGAGAUGAAGCUAGAUGUGCUUGGCUGACCACUCAGAGGGUCCUGAGCUGCGAGUCGAGGAAUUCGGAGGGGAUCGAAUGGUGGCCAGAAGACUUCAGUAAUUGAGCUCCAAUGGUUGUGCACAAAGUGGUUUGGACUUUGAUAAGUUUGGCGCCUUUAUUUUUUUUCUUCAUAUAUACUGUGUCGUUAUUAAUCACUUAGUUAUAGUAACCUUUAUAAAUUGUUCUCAUUUAAUCGCA